GACGAAGGAUGCAAGCGUUAUCCGGAUUCAUUGGGUUUAAAGGGUGCGUAGGCGGUGUCCUAAGUCAGUUGUGAAAUACGGCAGCUUAACUGUCGAGGUGCAAUUGAUACUGGGAUACUUGAGUACUGAUGAGGUAUGCGGAAUGGACGGUGUAGCGGUGAAAUGCUUAGAUAUCGUCCAGAACACCGAUAGCGAAGGCAGCAUACUAAGGAGUAACUGACGCUGAGGCACGAAAGUGUGAGGAUCAAACAGG
This 253-nucleotide ribosomal RNA is filed under the name uncultured bacterium. RNAcentral describes it as "partial 16S ribosomal RNA". It matches the Rfam family "Bacterial small subunit ribosomal RNA", at positions 524 to 776 of the family's 1533-position model. The record is from RNAcentral.